GUAGGGAAUCUUCCACAAUGGACGAAAGUCUGAUGGAGCAACGCCGCGUGAGUGAAGAAGGGUUUCGGCUCGUAAAGCUCUGUUGGUAGUGAAAGAAAGAUAGAGGUAGUAACUGGCCUUUAUUUGACGGUAAUUACUUAGAAAGUCACGGCUAACUACGUGCC
This 164-nucleotide ribosomal RNA is filed under the name uncultured bacterium. RNAcentral describes it as "partial 16S ribosomal RNA". It matches the Rfam family "Bacterial small subunit ribosomal RNA", at positions 354 to 509 of the family's 1533-position model. The record is from RNAcentral.